UACGGGGGGGGCAAGCGUUGUUCGGAAUUACUGGGCGUAAAGGGUUCGUAGGUGGCUUGUUAAGUCAGACGUGAAAUCCCUCGGCUCAACCGGGGAACUGCGUCUGAGACUGAUGAGCUCGAGUGCAGGAGAGGAACGCGGAAUUCCAGGUGUAGCGGUGAAAUGCGUAGAUAUCUGGAGGAACACCGGUGGCGAAGGUGGCGUUCUGGACUGCAACUGACACUGAGGAACGAAAGCCAGGGGAGCAAACGGG
RNAcentral lists this ribosomal RNA (253 nucleotides) under uncultured bacterium. Its description in RNAcentral is "partial 16S ribosomal RNA". It matches the Rfam family "Bacterial small subunit ribosomal RNA", at positions 524 to 776 of the family's 1533-position model. The record is from RNAcentral.